This is an RNA transcript of Fragaria vesca subsp. vesca, 1382 nucleotides long. It is a transcript of the gene named GDSL esterase/lipase 1-like, with no coding region annotated. NCBI's taxonomy places the organism in Eukaryota, Viridiplantae, Streptophyta, Magnoliopsida, Rosales, Rosaceae. The record is from RefSeq and is a predicted model, not a curated record. The transcript is spliced from 5 exons.
CAUGUUUCAGCUGUAUGCUAAAGCACAUGUUAUUCAAUUAUCACAAACCACAUUCUUUAAUUGAGUAUCGAUUAUAUUGCUUGGUUUGGAUGAAACCGCACCUAUAAAAUUGGAGAGAUACCAGGUCAUGUAAUUUGGAGUAUUAUGGCGAGCCUUAGCUACCUUCUUUAUGUUUUGGUAAGCCUUUUGAACCCAGUUAGCUACCUUCUUUAUGGUCAUGACCGGUUCAACUAUAAACCAGCAGCAGACGAUAAUGAGGUACAAUAUAAGACCUUGUUUGUGUUUGGAGACUCGCUGUAUGAUCCUGGCAACGAUCAAUACCUCCCUAAUGUCACCGUAGAAGAAUACCCAGCAACAACCUGGCCAUAUGGAGAAACCUUCUUUCAUCGCCCCAACGGAAGACUUUCCGAUGGCCGUAUAGUCCCGGACUUCAUCGCCAAGUUAGCAAACUUGCCAAUGCCUCCACCCUACCUGCAACCAGAUCCAAAAAAUUAUACCAACGGAGUCAGCUUUGCUUCAGCCGGUGCCGGAGUUCUAGUUGAAACUGAUCCAGGAACUAUAAAUCUUCCAUUACAAUUGAGCUACUUUAAGAACGUGACGGAGUUGUUGCAAGAGCAACUCGGUGAUGAAGAGGCCAAGAAGUUGCUGGGGAGUGCUGUGUACUUGAUUAGCAUGGGAGGCAAUGACUAUUUUACCUUCUACGCUGAAUACCAAGAAAAUGCCACCGAGGCCCUCCAGCAGGAAUUCAUAGGAAUUGUUAUCGGCAACUUGACCACUGUUCUCCAAGGAAUAUACGACUUAGGUGGGAGGAAAAUAGCAUUUCAAAAUGCAGGACCUCUUGGGUGCUUACCUUACGCAAAACAAGAAUACGACACUCAACUUGUAAUUGGGUGCGUUGAAGGGCUCCAGAGUCUGGCAAGGCAACACAAUAAAGCGUCUAGCUAGUGUCCUCAAAGAGCUAGAGAGCCAACUACCGGGGUUCAAAUAUUCGAUAUUCGAGUACUAUGAUGCACUUGGCGACCGAGUUCUUAACCCCAGCAAAUACGGCUUUAAGGAUGGAACAGAUGCGUGUUGCGGUAGAGGGGCGUACAGAGGAUCUGAUUGUGGCGGACUAAAUGGAACGGUGGCAUAUGAGUUAUGUAGUAAUCCUGGAGAUAGUGUGUGGUUUGAUGGGAGUCAUACAACUGAAAGGGCAAACCUGCAGUUGGCGGAACUGAUUUGGAGUGGAACACCCAAUGUGACAUGGCCUUACAAUGUCCAACAACUUUUUGAACAAGAAUAAUUUUGAUAAUUUUCUCAUUAUUGGAAUAAAUUUAAAACUAGUGAGGUAUAGUUGAUGGAGAUGAAACCAGUAAUGAAUGAUCCCAGUAUCAGUGCUAAUU